UCAUCUUUCAUCAUCAUUAUC
This 21-nucleotide small nuclear RNA is filed under the name Arabidopsis thaliana (thale cress). RNAcentral's name for it is "snRNA_12679". The record is from RNAcentral. Lineage: Eukaryota; Viridiplantae; Streptophyta; Magnoliopsida; Brassicales; Brassicaceae.